UACGGAGGGUGCAAACGUUGCUCGGAAUCAUUGGGCGUAAAGCGCACGUAGGCGGCCUGAUAAGUCGGGUGUGAAAGCCCUGGGCUCAACCCAGGAAGUGCACUCGAAACUGUCAGGCUUGAAUAUGGAAGAGGGUCGCGGAAUUCCCGGUGUAGAGGUGAAAUUCGUAGAUAUCGGGAGGAACACCAGUGGCGAAGGCGGCGACCUGGGCCGGACCUGACGCUGAGACGCGAAGGCGUGGGGAGCGAACGGG
Molecule: ribosomal RNA, 253 nt
Filed under: uncultured bacterium
Lineage: Bacteria
Description: partial 16S ribosomal RNA
Rfam family: Bacterial small subunit ribosomal RNA
Source: RNAcentral